Drosophila montana is the source of this 350-nucleotide long non-coding RNA. RefSeq lists it as uncharacterized. Lineage: Eukaryota; Metazoa; Arthropoda; Insecta; Diptera; Drosophilidae. The transcript is spliced from 2 exons. The record is from RefSeq and is a predicted model, not a curated record.
UAAUAGUUAAUAUGUAUAGAAAUAAUUAAUGCAACAUACUGUUCCACGCUGUGCGCAAAUGUUUUAUGUUGAAUUCGUAAUUGAAUUGGCGUUUUCUUGAUUGAUUCUGGGCGUUUUUCAAUGGCGGCAGCGGCGCAGGCUUUUGUUUUUUUUUUGGGCGUGGCAUUUGUGUGUGUGAUGUUUCUUUUUUUUUAUAUAUAUAUAUUUUUUGUGACAUUUUACUUUUUGGACAGAGAUCACUCAAGCAGGCAUAUUUAUAUGGACGUAAUACAACUUAAGGCACGCGUUUUGCAUUGUUGAUGUUGGACAGAAUACACGAAACGAAACUGUGAAGGAACUGGAGCUGGAAC